AUGUACACAACUUAUGAGUGUUCACUGUCACUGUCUACUCAUACUAAAGCUUAUCUCACACUUAAUAUUUUUAAGAAAGGUGGAGAUGGAGGUGGACCUUCAGCAUGUGACAAUCAGUAUCAUUCUGAUGACACUCCAUUUGUUGCACUUUUCAUCGAAUGGUUCAACGACAAGAGCAGAUGUUUGAACAAGAUUACCAUCAGUGCUAAUGGAAAAAGUGUGGUGGCCAUGGGUGGCAUUGACAUUACUUGGUCAUAUGCUUGA
Molecule: non-coding RNA, 264 nt
Organism: Vicia faba (fava bean)
Lineage: Eukaryota; Viridiplantae; Streptophyta; Magnoliopsida; Fabales; Fabaceae
Source: the annotation of a GenBank genome assembly